Myripristis murdjan (pinecone soldierfish) is the source of this 319-nucleotide long non-coding RNA. RefSeq lists it as uncharacterized. The record is from RefSeq and is a predicted model, not a curated record. The transcript is spliced from 3 exons. NCBI's taxonomy places the organism in Eukaryota, Metazoa, Chordata, Actinopteri, Holocentriformes, Holocentridae.
ACAGCAUCACUGCAGUCCACCGCUCAGCUGUCACACUCAACUACCCUGCGCCUCCAAUUCCAGGGAAACUUCCCAGAGCCAGUCGGCCCAACUCCUCCCGUCCACGACAUCCACGAUGAGUUACUACAUGGAUCCAGUUUCUUCCUACGCGGCCCUUCACCCCUGUGACCGUCUGGGUGCAAUGAGGCAGAGUGGAGGCGUAGCAGUAGGCCCUCAGACGCAGCUCCCAGGGGUGGUCCACCCACAGCAGCAGUACUAUCCAUCCCAGCCCCUCUUCCCCCAGGAUAUCCCCCUACAGGAGGUACCCAACGGACAUGAC